Molecule: ribosomal RNA, 352 nt
Filed under: uncultured Gemmatimonadota bacterium
Lineage: Bacteria; Pseudomonadati; Gemmatimonadota
Description: bacterial SSU rRNA
Rfam family: Bacterial small subunit ribosomal RNA
Source: RNAcentral
UGGCUGUUGUCAGCUCGUGUCGUGAGAUGUUGGGUUAAGUCCCGCAACGAGCGCAACCCUUAUCUGCUGUUACCAGCGCGUCAUGGCGGGGACUCUGCAGAGACUGCCGGUGAUAAACCGGAGGAAGGUGGGGACGACGUCAAGUCAUCAUGGUCCUUACGCCCAGGGCUACACACGUGCUACAAUGGCCAGGACAAAGCGCUGCAAGGCCGCGAGGCGGAGCGAAUCGCAAAAACCUGGUCCAAGUUCGGAUUGCAGUCUGUAACUCGACUGCAUGAAGUCGGAAUCGCUAGUAAUCGUGGGUCAGCUACACCACGGUGAAUACGUUCCCGGGCCUUGUACACACCGCCCG